GAUGAAGAACGCAGCGAAACGCGAUAGCUAGUGUGAAUUGCAGAUUUUCGUGAAUCAUCGAGUCUUUGAACGCACAUUGCGCCCCCUGGUAUUCCGGGGGGCAUGCCUAUUCGAGCGUCGUGGUCACGCUUCAAGCCCGGCUUGAUGAUGGGGAACGCCCUCUCUCGGGGGGGGGCCUCCUUCAAAUGCAACUCCAGACGCCUCGUUGGCUGGGAGCGCAGCAGCAGUGCGCUUCCCCAAGGCGACCGGAUGCCCCUCGUGGGCUCGAGAUUGCUAGACCUCGAAUUAGGCAGGGACACCCGCUGAACUUAAGCAUAUCAAUAAGCGGAGGA
RNAcentral lists this unclassified non-coding RNA (332 nucleotides) under soil metagenome. RNAcentral's name for it is "partial contains 5.8S ribosomal RNA, internal transcribed spacer 2, and large subunit ribosomal RNA". The stretch from base 1 to 120 matches the Rfam family "5.8S ribosomal RNA", at positions 35 to 154 of the family's 154-position model. The record is from RNAcentral.